RNAcentral lists this transfer RNA (122 nucleotides) under Clostridiales bacterium. RNAcentral describes it as "tRNA-Glu". The stretch from base 63 to 122 matches the Rfam family "tRNA". The record is from RNAcentral. Lineage: Bacteria; Bacillati; Bacillota; Clostridia; Eubacteriales.
GCCCGAUUGGUCUAAUGGCAAUCCAAACCCGCGAAGCGGGUGCGACAAGGACUUCGGAGAAGUCCCGAUAGUGAUUCCUGAUUCUCAGUCAGGAGACGAGAGUUCGAAUCUCUCAUCGGGUA